CCACUAGAGGGGAGAAGACUGCCGGGUUUACUGAAUGCUUCACCGUAGAGCUUGAAGGUGCAGGAGCUGUCACAAGACUGGUUGUCCAACGAAAUGGUUUAAAAUAUGUUAUGAAGGUGGGAAAACUAGAAGGAUUGUAUGUCCUUCAGAGUUCAUGUAGGCCUGGCAGUGGGAGGAGAGAAACAAAAUGAAGCAUAAAGCAAGGGUUGAACGGGCUUUCCCAGGAUCCCCAGAAUGUCAUCCAUAUUAGUAGACACAUUAAGGAGACAUCAUAAAAGGACCCAGGGGGAAUAUACAACUCAGAAGAUGGGGAGCUACUGAGGAUUAACUGAAAUUUGAUAUGCUUGCUUGCAGUGGAUUUUUUUUCUGAAAGCUUCAUCAAAAUGGCUGCAAGCAUAGGAGUGAAUAAAAUGCAGCUAAGACAAAACAGAAAUUGCAACCUUUUUAGACCAGCUCUAGCACCUCAGCAGAAGAUGAUGGAGGCUUGAAAACUGGCAGGCACUCAGGACCCGGUUCAGUUAAACAAUUAAGCACGUACUUAACUUUAAGAUUGUGAACAAUCCCUUUGACCUCCAUGGGAAGGAGAACAGUGACACAGAGGCCAAGUGACUCACCCAAGCUCACACAACAGCAUGGAUGAGCCUUCCCUCGUUAAAGGAGAUAAUGGAAACAUUUUGGAGGAUGCUUCAAGGAGCUGACCAACAUCAUUCUAGGACAACUGAUUUCCACCCAGAACAUGACCUAACAGGUAGGUAGAAUAUGACCGAGAAUGACUUUGCAAUGACUUUGGGGACAGUGGUUUGCUUGGAUUUUUAUUUUAUAUUUUCCUGGAAAGUAUACUGGCUCCAUUUGAAGAAUCUGAGAA
Long non-coding RNA from Dermochelys coriacea (leatherback sea turtle), 865 nucleotides. RefSeq lists it as uncharacterized. The record is from RefSeq and is a predicted model, not a curated record. The transcript is spliced from 5 exons. NCBI's taxonomy places the organism in Eukaryota, Metazoa, Chordata, Testudines, Dermochelyidae.